AAGUCGUAACAAGGUUUCCGUAGGUGAACCUGCGGAAGGAUCAUUACAAAUCCAUCACGUCUCCUCAUCCGAGACCACGUUGAAAUGUUCCCCAGGUCAGGAUGCGCUCGUCACUCUGUGGCGGCACGCCUGGUCUGGGCUGUUAAACUAGUGUUUCCUUGUUGCUCAAUUGUAUACUGGUGCUCAUCUACCCGAUGACGCUUGACAACAAAGUACAACUUAUAACAAUGGAUCUCUAGGCUCUU
This 245-nucleotide unclassified non-coding RNA is filed under the name fungal sp. Its description in RNAcentral is "partial internal transcribed spacer region". The stretch from base 1 to 46 matches the Rfam family "Eukaryotic small subunit ribosomal RNA", at positions 1786 to 1831 of the family's 1831-position model. The record is from RNAcentral. Lineage: Eukaryota; Fungi.